Molecule: long non-coding RNA, 686 nt
Filed under: Pogona vitticeps (central bearded dragon)
Lineage: Eukaryota; Metazoa; Chordata; Lepidosauria; Squamata; Agamidae
Description: lncRNA (ENSPVIG00000023668.1)
Source: RNAcentral
UUUUCAUCAAAUGGGAACCUGGUGACCAUUAUUCAGUCAUGCCUUUGUCACCUCAAGGCCAGGCUAUUGUAGGCCACACAUAGUUGAAAUGUUUCAGCUGGUAAUAGAGGAUAUUGUGACCUGCCUACUAAUGAUGCCAGGGUAGUAGCAGUGCUCCACUGUCUGUGUUGUCUUCUUGUUUCACAGGCCAGAACUCCGAAGGAUGGGUGAAAAAUCUGGGCCAGAACUUCGUUUCCCUCCAGACCUGCCAACAUUGGGGAACCACUGCCUUCUUUCUUCUUGACAAUCACCUGUAGCAGACCUGUAAUAUUGAGAAGGCAGAUGCUUGAUCCCUUUCAAAAGACCUGUGUCGUGUAUGACAAGCAGCAAGGUACUCAGCUGCAAUCCCCACAGAUUCAUUCAAAGGCACGGGUACGUUUGGGUGCAAUCUUGCAAACUGGCCAUGCUUUCAGAGUAAGAAGGACUUUUAGGAUGGUGUUUCUUAGCUACAGCCAACAGUACAACCUGCAGCCACCAACCAUUCUUUGCAGCCCUAGCAAUCCUCCUGGGAUUUCCAUCUGCUCUAAUCUCAGCCUCCAGGAAGCAAGCAAUUUCUGCAUUUUCUACUGAGAUGUUUUCCACUUGUUGUCAUGUUUUCAAUAUGUGAACACAAUAAAAUAAUAAUCUUGGUCCUCCUUUCCCCUUUU